UUUCAGACCCUUGCCUGUCCAUUUAUAAUCUCACCUGUUCGCAUUUCUGCCUACCAGAUGUUGAUAACGCGGUGUGCGGCUGCAGAAGUGGCUAUAAGCUCAAACCUGACAAUGAAACGUGUAUAGAUAUUAAUGAAUGUACUGACGAUGAUGAAAACAAAUGCGACGCAGAUGCCACGUGUACAAAUACGGAAGGAUCAUACUUGUGUGAAUGUCCAGAUGGAAAACAUUUGGAAAAUGACGGACGCACAUGCUCAGAAUGUGAUGAUUAUCACUAUGGACGGAACUGUUUGAAGACCUGUAGUUGCUUACAUGGAAUUUGUGACAAGAGGACUGGUUGUGUUUGCAAUCCUGGAUGGGCCGGCACACUUUGUGACACUGAUAUAGAUGAAUGCUCCACAGAACAAGUUGUAUGUCUAAAAGAAAAGUCCGUUUGUGUGAAUGUACUUGGAAGCGCCGUUUGUUCUUGUGAAACAGGAUACCAGAACCAGUCUGGAGUUUGCCAAGGUGCUUAGUUUUCCCUGAUUUUAUUGACGUAAUAAUG
Molecule: long non-coding RNA, 544 nt
Organism: Mercenaria mercenaria
Lineage: Eukaryota; Metazoa; Mollusca; Bivalvia; Venerida; Veneridae
Exons: 4
Source: RefSeq, a predicted model, not a curated record